CCAGGCAUUGCAGUUUAUCAGAAACAACAACAGCAACACACUCCCAAUCACUGCGAUCAAGCAAACUGCAGUCAUUAUUGUGUCACCAGUUUUGUGUCGGACUACAAGUGUUUCUGUCCUGAUGGCUCCCACUUGUUGAAUGACGAAAAAACAUGUUCAGUCGGUGUUGAAAGAUGUAAUGACAGUUACUGUAAUUACAAUGGACAUUGUGUGAAGGAAGGCAACACAAAUAAAUGUUUAUGUCGUAGUGACCGCACUGGAUCUCAAUGCACUGACGUUGUUCACAAGACUCUGUCUUGUCCCAGCACUCGAUGCCACAGCCGUGGACAAUGUUAUAUCUCAGUAGAAGGUCACU
Molecule: long non-coding RNA, 355 nt
Organism: Corticium candelabrum
Lineage: Eukaryota; Metazoa; Porifera; Homoscleromorpha; Homosclerophorida; Plakinidae
Exons: 3
Source: RefSeq, a predicted model, not a curated record